CUUUUUUUUUUUUUUGAGAAUGAGAGAGAGACAGAGGUAAGGGGAGGAGUAGAAGAAGAGAAAUCCAAGCAGGCUCCAUGCCCAGUCAGGAGCCCCUUGUGGGCCUCAAUCCCACAACCCUGAGAUCACGACCUUAGCUGAAAUCAAGAGUUGGCUGUUCAACUGACUGAGCCACCCAGAUGCCUCAAGAGCGGGGGAGGUUUCUUAUUCAUGCUUGUGUCUUUAGUAAGAGACAUACAAUUUUAUUCACAGUAAGAAAUCCACAUUUGAUAAAUGAGUGAAACACUGGUGGCUACAGAGAAGAGACGGGGCUGAGGGAGACCACCAAGGAGGCCAGGUGGGGGAGGCUGAGAGUAAUUUUGCCCGAAAGCAAGGCUGUCAUCGUUAAAGCUGCUGAUCAACUCUUCUGAGUCUUUGGAGGGACCCAGAGUUUCAGUUUCAAGCAGAGAACAAGAGGUGGGCACUGUGCUGGACAUUUCCAUCUCCAGACACCUUCCGUCCAUCUGGCCCCAGCACACACUGCUCCAGAGGAGGCUGGCAGGGCAGGCAGCUGGCCAUGCUGACCCCGCCUCCUGUUCCACCUGCACUGAGGGAUGCUAGUCGGUGUCCAUCCUGAGCCCUUUGCAGACGUGCUGUGUUGUCUUAUUCGAGCUCCUGAGGAA
RNAcentral lists this long non-coding RNA (662 nucleotides) under Suricata suricatta (meerkat). RNAcentral's name for it is "lncRNA (ENSSSUG00005018096.1)". The record is from RNAcentral. Lineage: Eukaryota; Metazoa; Chordata; Mammalia; Carnivora; Herpestidae.